ACGCUGGCGGCGUGCCUAAUACAUGCAAGUAGAACGCUGAAGGAGGAGCUUGCUUCACUGGAUGAGUUGCGAACGGGUGAGUAACGCGUAGGUAACCUGCCUGGUAGCGGGGGAUAACUAUUGGAAACGAUAGCUAAUACCGCAUAACAGUAGAUGUUGCAUGACAUUUGCUUAAAAGGUGCAAUUGCAUCACUACCAGAUGGACCUGCGUUGUAUUAGCUAGUUGGUGGGGUAACGGCUCACCAAGGCGACGAUACAUAGCCGACCUGAGAGGGUGAUCGGCCACACUGGGACUGAGACACGGCCCAGACUCCUACGGGAGGCAGCAGUAGGGAAUCUUCGGCAAUGGACGGAAGUCUGACCGAGCAACGCCGCGUGAGUGAAGAAGGUUUUCGGAUCGUAAAGCUCUGUUGUAAGAGAAGAACAGGUGUGAGAGUGGAAAGUUCACACUGUGACGGUAUCUUACCAGAAAGGGACGGCUAACUACGUGCCAGCAGCCGCGGUAAUACGUAGGUCCCGAGCGUUGUCCGGAUUUAUUGGGCGUAAAGCGAGCGCAGGCGGUUAGAUAAGUCUGAAGUUAAAGGCUGUGGCUUAACCAUAGUACGCUUUGGAAACUGUUUAACUUGAGUGCAAGAGGGGAGAGUGGAAUUCCAUGUGUAGCGGUGAAAUGCGUAGAUAUAUGGAGGAACACCGGUGGCGAAAGCGGCUCUCUGGCUUGUAACUGACGCUGAGGCUCGAAAGCGUGGGGAGCAAACAGGAUUAGAUACCCCUGGUAGUCCACGCCGUAAACGAUGAGUGCUAGGUGUUAGACCCUUUCCGGGGUUUAGUGCCGCAGCUAACGCAUUAAGCACUCCGCCUGGGGAGUACGACCGCAAGGUUGAAACUCAAAGGAAUUGAC
RNAcentral lists this ribosomal RNA (898 nucleotides) under uncultured bacterium. RNAcentral's name for it is "bacterial SSU rRNA". It matches the Rfam family "Bacterial small subunit ribosomal RNA", at positions 33 to 914 of the family's 1533-position model. The record is from RNAcentral.